GCCGGGUGUGGUGGCACAUGCCUGUAGUCCCAUCUACUUGGGAGGCUGAGAUGGGAGGAUCACCUGAGCCUGGGAAAGUCGAGGCUGCAGUGAGCUGAAAUCACAUCACUGCACUCCAGCCUGAGCAACAAGGUGAGACCCUGUCUCAA
Papio anubis (olive baboon) is the source of this 149-nucleotide unclassified non-coding RNA. It matches the Rfam family "Metazoan signal recognition particle RNA". Rfam says of the family: The signal recognition particle (SRP) is a universally conserved ribonucleoprotein. It is involved in the co-translational targeting of proteins to membranes. The eukaryotic SRP consists of a 300-nucleotide 7S RNA and six proteins: SRPs 72, 68, 54, 19, 14, and 9. Lineage: Eukaryota; Metazoa; Chordata; Mammalia; Primates; Cercopithecidae. The record is from Ensembl.